RNAcentral lists this long non-coding RNA (777 nucleotides) under Rattus norvegicus (Norway rat). RNAcentral describes it as "long non-coding RNA NONRATT029434". Lineage: Eukaryota; Metazoa; Chordata; Mammalia; Rodentia; Muridae. The record is from RNAcentral.
GACCUAUUUAUGAGACCAGCUACCACUGAUGAAGAAUGUUGGAGUAGUUGCUGAAAUUGACCCUUAUUGACCUGAGACAAUUAUUUGUUCUACGUUUUCUGUUUUGUUUUUUUUUUGUUUUUUUUUUGUUUUUUUGUUUUGUUUUGAUCCCACUGCUUUGAGCUUUACUGUAACGGCUGAAAAACUUGGAAAAUAAAAUAACAUGAUGUGGUCUUGAACCUUUUUCUUUUUUUGAGGAUAUAUUAAAGUGCCAGAGUGAAAAGCCGGAAUGGCAGCCAGAGAGAGGCUCUUUGAACUUUGGAUGCUUUAUUGUACAAAGAGACAGUUUCUCUAGGUAGCCCUGGCUGUACUGGAACUUUGCUCUGUAGAUCAUGCUGACCUUGAACUCUAGAAGAAGGCAUUGGAUUUCCCGGGACUGAAAUUAUGAACAGUUGUGUGCUGGGAAUUGCACCUGGGUCCUCUGGAAGAGCAACCAGUGCUCCAAAUCACUGAGCCUUCUUUUUAGCUGCUGCUUACUCUUAGUCUUAGUCUUAUUCUUCUUUUGAUUUUGACCUUUGAGAGAUAAGUAGCUUUGUUUUGGUUUUGCUUUUUCAUAAUGUGAAUUAUUAUAUAAACUCUUUUAGUUCUUGUCCUUAAAAACUUUUAUUAUGGGAACUUUGAAUAUGCAUGAGCUUGGAUUCAUAAUAAACUUUUAUUUGUCACUUAGUUCAACAAUGAUCAGUGUAUACCCUAGUGUUUCUAUAACUUUCCAGGUUCCCCAUCUCUACUGAAUGUUUU